CUGCACUUCGGGAUAAGCCUGGGAAACUGGGUCUAAUACCGGAUAGGACCACGGGAUGCAUGUCUUGUGGUGGAAAGCGCUUUAGCGGUGUGGGAUGAGCCCGCGGCCUAUCAGCUUGUUGGUGGGGUGACGGCCUACCAAGGCGACGACGGGUAGCCGGCCUGAGAGGGUGUCCGGCCACACUGGGACUGAGAUACGGCCCAGACUCCUACGGGAGGCAGCAGUGGGGAAUAUUGCACAAUGGGCGCAAGCCUGAUGCAGCGACGCCGCGUGGGGGAUGACGGCCUUCGGGUUGUAAACCUCUUUCACCAUCGACGAAGGUCCGGGUUCUCUCGGAUUGACGGUAGGUGGAGAAGAAGCACCGGCCAACUACGUGCCAGCAGCCGCGGUAAUACGUAGGGUGCGAGCGUUGUCCGGAAUUACUGGGCGUAAAGAGCUCGUAGGUGGUUUGUCGCGUUGUUCGUGAAAUCUCACGGCUUAACUGUGAGCGUGCGGGCGAUACGGGCAGACUAGAGUACUGCAGGGGAGACUGGAAUUCCUGGUGUAGCGGUGGAAUGCGCAGAUAUCAGGAGGAACACCGGUGGCGAAGGCGGGUCUCUGGGCAGUAACUGACGCUGAGGAGCGAAAGCGUGGGGAGCGAACAGGAUUAGAUACCCUGGUAGUCCMCGCCGUAA
This 674-nucleotide ribosomal RNA is filed under the name Mycobacterium tuberculosis. RNAcentral's name for it is "bacterial SSU rRNA". It matches the Rfam family "Bacterial small subunit ribosomal RNA", at positions 131 to 805 of the family's 1533-position model. The record is from RNAcentral. Lineage: Bacteria; Bacillati; Actinomycetota; Actinomycetes; Mycobacteriales; Mycobacteriaceae.